ACAGGUGGACAAAAUUGUAGAAAUAAGAAAUGGUAAAUGUGAUUGGUGGGACCCACGGCUAGGAUUCCUGUUGGCAAAUUUCCUUUGAUUUUGACUGAUCAUGUGGGCUGUGAUGUGUUUGGACUGAUACUUGCAUUCUGUCGGUGCAUUUUUUUUUUCCGAUUUAUGUACCUAACUUGUGAGUUUAGUAAGAAACUUGAUAAAGGAAUUAGAGGAAGGCAGAGAGAGAAAAUUAAGGCCACACACACACUUUAUCUCUUUCGGCUUGGACAUUCUCUCUCCCUCUUUCUGUAUGUAUAUAUAUAUAUAUAUAUAUAUAUAUAUAUAUAUAUAUAUAUAUUUUAUUUCCUUCAAAGCUUCAAGCUUUGAUUUCUCCCUCAUUUUUGAGAGAUUGUUGGAGCCGUUUGCGGCAAAUUGGAGGGCUCGUUGAAAUCUACACAUUGAUGUAAGCGAUUUUCCAUUUGGCCAACCUUAGGAUUUCGAGUUUUAAGACCCAUUUUGAGUGUUUUUCUACAAUUUGAGGAUACGGAAAGGAAGUGGCGGACGACGCUCCUCCACAGGGUUCGAUGGGAUACGGAAAGGAAGUGGCGGACAACGCUCCUCCACAGGGUUCUAUAGGAUACAGGAAAAAGUGGCGGACGACACUCCUCCACAGGUUUUGAUAGGAGCAUUGAGCUAGGAAUCAAGCAAAGGAGCCAUCAAGUAAAGGAGCUAAGCAAGCAAGGAAAAGUGCUAAAUUUUUUUAAAAAUUUGCUAAGCUAAGCUUUAAAUUUGGAGUUGAAGUACUAAAGGACCUUUACCAUGACUAAGAAUGACAGUUCUUUUACUUCAGCCACACCUGAGGCUCAUGAUCAGAUAUGUCGCUUAGAGGAGCACCUUCAGAGUUUGGAGGAUAUGCUGGUUGCCCUUAGAGCUGACAUUGCCACCCUUCGUCUGAAUAUGAUGGCUGCCAUUAAAACUGACAUUGCUCGCCUCCGUACGGAGAUCUUGACUGCCAUUGAUGACUUAGCCAGGGAGAUCCGCGGAGUUCCUUCUGCCUGAGACUCCCAGUCUCUUUAUCUUUUUAUGUUCUCUAUCUAUGUUAUGUGUCUGCUACACUUGUGACACUAUUAUUUUUGUAACCGGGUCUGUCGGCUUUUACACUGGAUGUAUUGCGCUUUAUUGUUAUUUUUAUCUAUAAUGGAUGUCAUAUGCUUUUAUUGAUACA
Long non-coding RNA from Cornus florida, 1207 nucleotides. RefSeq lists it as uncharacterized. Lineage: Eukaryota; Viridiplantae; Streptophyta; Magnoliopsida; Cornales; Cornaceae. The record is from RefSeq and is a predicted model, not a curated record. The transcript has 6 exons.